Molecule: ribosomal RNA, 824 nt
Filed under: uncultured bacterium
Lineage: Bacteria
Description: bacterial SSU rRNA
Rfam family: Bacterial small subunit ribosomal RNA
Source: RNAcentral
UUGCUUGCAAUCCUGAGUAGAGUGGCGCACGGGUGAGUAACACGUAGAUAAUCUACCUCCAAGCCCGGGAUAACUAUUCGAAAGGAUGGCUAAUACCGGAUGAAGUUUAUAUCCAAAAGGAUAUAAAUGAAAGAUUGCCUCUUCUUGAAAGCAAUUGUUUGGAGAUGAGUUUGCGGACCAUUAGUUUGUUGGUGGGGUAAAGGCCUACCAAGACUACGAUGGUUAGCUGGUCUGAGAGGAUGAUCAGCCACACUGGAACUGGUACACGGUCCAGACUCCUACGGGAGGCAGCAGUGAGGAAUUUUGCGCAAUGGGGGCAACCCUGACGCAGCAACGCCGCGUGAGUGAAGAAGGCCUUUGGGUCGUAAAGCUCUGUCGACAGGGAAGAAAUUACAAUCAUCCAAUAGGUGUUUGUAUUGACGGUACCUGUAGAGGAAGCACCGGCUAACUCCGUGCCAGCAGCCGCGGUAAUACGGGGGGUGCAAGCGUUAUUCGGAAUUAUUGGGCGUAAAGGGCGCGUAGGCGGUCUUGUCGGUCAGAUGUGAAAGCCCAGGGCUCAACCUUGGACGUGCAUUUGAAACAGCAAGACUUGAGUACGGGAGAGGAAAGCGGAAUUCCUGGUGUAGAGGUGAAAUUCGUAUAUAUCAGGAGGAACACCGAUGGCGAAGGCAGCUUUCUGGACCGAUACUGACGCUGAGGCGCGAAGGCGUGGGUAGCGAACGGGAUUAGAUACCCCGGUAGUCCACGCAGUAAACGAUGUACACUAUGUGUAGCGGGUAUUAAAAUCUGCUGCGCCGGAGCUAACGUGUUAAGUGUACCGCCUG